UCUGUCUCUUAUUAGCUGUGUGAUUGUGGGCAGGGUAAGCCUCUCGUCCUCGCUGCAAAAUGAGCUCCUCACAGCACCUAUCACUAGCGCAAUUGUGAGCAUUAAAUAAAAUAACAUAGGCAGCAGCACUCAGGUUCGCCUCCCAGUCCAAGUACACUAAGUGGUAGUUACCACGGCGGGAGGGGCGGGGCGCUGUCCAUGCACGCGCAUGCGCGUCCCCGCGUGCGCGCGCUUCAGGUAAGAGGGCCGAGCAGGUCCGCGUUCGGAGGCCUGUCUGGGGGCUCUCUGGUGCGACGACUGUGGUGGCGUUUUUCAUGGGGAAGCUCUCGGCAGAGUUCUGGGGCCAUGCGGCGGUCUCCCGAGUGUCGCUGUCUGCAGUUCGCCGGAGGCGAGCGUUUCCGGGUCGGUCGGUGACCUUGGCUCGGCAGCCGGGCCGUGCGGCCUGCGCUGCCCGCGGGUGUCGGCCGCAGGCCCGGCCCAAGCGUUCUGGGGGCCACGGGCCGGGGCGGCCGGGGGUUCCAGAGGACCGGGCGAGCGGGGGCCGAGGGCCGUGGGUCGCCAGCGAAGGCCGCCGUCCUCGGCCUCUGCUGCUUGCUCGGUUCCCGGCCGUGGGAACCUGGAAGAAGCUGCUGCUGUUAAGGAGACCCAGGGAGAGACGGGGUCUUACUCUUUCUCAGGCUGGUCUUGAACUCCUGAACUCAAGCGAUUCUCCUGCCUUUGCCUCCCAGAGUGCUGCGAGUAGGCGUGAGCCACUAUACCCGGUCACGUGUACAUAUAUAUUUUUAAAAGGUAAAUGCUUUAUUAUAGUGUUAUUUGGACUUUUAUUUCUUUGAACCCUUAGCAUCACCCCCUCACAAAAAAACAAAAUUUUACAAGGAUUCCUUAAAUUAUGGAAUAGGCUGCAGGCAGGCUUUGUUUUAUUCACCUCUUGGACAUUAAAAAUAACCCCAAGAGCGCUAUCUGUAUUUAGCAUGACUCAUAUCUGUCAGUAAUGUACCACAUUGUAAUGAACAGAGCAAAACAAUUCUCUCUUCCCACCUAUCCACAGGUCUCUAGGUACUAUAUGGGUUCUUUUGUAACUUCCUUUGUUUCAUUUCUUUUUUUUUUUUUUUGAGACAGAAUCUCACUUUGUUGCCCAGGUUAGAGUGAGUGCCAUGGUGUCAGCCUAGCUCACAGCAACCUCAAACUCCUGGGCUCAAGCAAUCCUGCUGCCUCAGCCUCCCAAGUAGCGGGGACUACAGGCAUGUACCACCGUGCGGGCUAAUUUUUUCUAUGUAUAUCAGUUGGCCAAUUAAUUUCUUUCUAUUUAUGAUAGAGAUGGGAUCUCGCUCUUGCUCAGGCUGGUUUCGAACUCCUGACCUCGAGCAAUCCACCCACCUCAGCCUCCCAGAGUACUAGGAUUACAUGCGUGAGCCACCGCGCCUGGCCUGCUUCAUUUCUUUUAUGUAAGAAAUUAAGUUUUAAUCUUUUGGUCCCCAGGGUAAUCACAUUAUCAAAAUGAGAAAAGGGAAUAUUUGGGAGGAGGGACACCUGGUAAGGAUAUUACUAGGAUAAUCCUACAAAAAGAGGGUAUUUGAUUACCUCUGCUCUCAGGCAUUGUGAAGAGGAGUUAGAAGGGAAUGGGGUAAAUGCCUGACAGUCUGAGAUAAAAACUAGUGGUUCUCCUGUUCUUGACUUCAGGGCUACAGGGAGGCUGAGUAAAAACUUGGGUUUACAUUUCAUAUAUUCAGUAAGAGUUAAAUAUUCUAUUUUCUUAAUUUGUUAUGUAGCCCUUUUCCUUGUUUAG
Microcebus murinus (gray mouse lemur) is the source of this 1786-nucleotide long non-coding RNA. The record is from Ensembl. Lineage: Eukaryota; Metazoa; Chordata; Mammalia; Primates; Cheirogaleidae.